GGAAACGUAGUAUCACCUGGUCAUCACCGCGACGGGAGACAGGAAGCCGGUGCGAAUCCGGCACGGUCCCGCCACUGUGACCGGGGAGUGGAACCUUCGAGGACGCCACCGCGUACGUACGUACAGCGCGGGAAGGCAAGGGGGAACGUCGAUCCGGGAGUCAGGACACUGGCCUGUCGCGGGCCCAUUCC
RNAcentral lists this non-coding RNA (191 nucleotides) under Streptomyces sp. The record is from RNAcentral. Lineage: Bacteria; Bacillati; Actinomycetota; Actinomycetes; Kitasatosporales; Streptomycetaceae. RNAcentral also lists the same sequence under 1 other name.